RNAcentral lists this ribosomal RNA (593 nucleotides) under uncultured bacterium. RNAcentral describes it as "bacterial SSU rRNA". It matches the Rfam family "Bacterial small subunit ribosomal RNA", at positions 338 to 961 of the family's 1533-position model. The record is from RNAcentral.
CCUACGGGAGGCAGCAGUGGGGAAUCUUGCGCAAUGGGCGAAAGCCUGACGCAGCAACGCCGCGUGCGGGAAGAAGGCUUUCGGGCUGUAAACCGCUUUCAGCAGGAACGAAAAUGACGGUACCUGCAGAAGAAGGAGCGGCCAACUAUGUGCCAGCAGCCGCGGUGAUACAUAGGCUUCAAGCGUUGUCCGGAUUUAUUGGGCGUAAAGAGUUCGUAGGCGGUCGAGUAAGUCGGGUGUGAAAAUUCUGGGCUCAACCCAGAGACGCCACCCGAUACUGCUUGACUUGAGUUCGAUAGGGGAGUGGGGAAUUCCUAGUGUAGCGGUGAAAUGCGCAGAUAUUAGGAGGAACACCGGUGGCGAAGGCGCCACUCUGGAUCGAUACUGACGCUGAGGAACGAAAGCAUGGGUAGCAAACAGGAUUAGAUACCCUGGUAGUCCAUGCCGUAAACGGUGGGCACUAGGUGUGGGUUCCUAUUAACGAAAUCCGCGCCGUCGCUAACGCAUUAAGUGCCCCGCCUGGGGAGUACGGUCGCAGACUAAACUAAAGUAAGUAGACGCGNGAGACGUGCGACGACGACGACGAGGAGAGG